This is a non-coding RNA of Elaeis guineensis (African oil palm), 199 nucleotides long. NCBI's taxonomy places the organism in Eukaryota, Viridiplantae, Streptophyta, Magnoliopsida, Arecales, Arecaceae. The record is from RefSeq and is a predicted model, not a curated record.
AUACCUUUCUCGGCCUUUUGGCUAAGAUCAAGUGUAGUAUCUGUUCUUAUCAGUUUAAUAUCUGAUACGUGGGUCAUCGAUCCACCAUGAUAUUAAAUUAAUUUUUUUUCGGGGGAGUUCCCUCUCACAGUGGCUUGCCACUGGGGUUCUCGCGCGUCGCCCUUGCGUUGCACCACUGCUUGGGCCUGGCGCACCCCUA